AGUCGAACGGAAUCUUUCGGGAUUUAGUGGCGGACGGGUGAGUAACGCGUGAGAAUCUGCCUUCAGGUUCGGGACAACAGCUGGAAACGGCUGCUAAUACCGGAUGUGCCGAGAGGUGAAAGCUUUAGUGCCUGGAGAUGAGCUCGCGUCUGAUUAGCUAGUAGGAGUGGUAACGGCACCCCUAGGCGACGAUCAGUAGCUGGUCUGAGAGGAUGAUCAGCCACACUGGGACUGAGACACGGCCCAGACUCCUACGGGAGGCAGCAGUGGGGAAUUUUCCGCAAUGGGCGCAAGCCUGACGGAGCAAGACCGCGUGAGGGAAGAAGGUCUGUGGAUUGUAAACCUCUUUUGAUAGGGAAGAAGACAGUGACGGUACCUAUCGAAUCAGCCUCGGCUAACUCCGUGCCAGCAGCCGCGGUAAUACGGAGGAGGCAAGCGUUAUCCGGAAUUAUUGGGCGUAAAGAGUCCGUAGGUGGGUGACCAAGUCAGUUGUUAAAUAGUGAAGCCUAACUUCAUAGAGGCGACUGAAACUGGUCAUCUAGAGUGUGGUAGGGGUAGAGGGAAUUUCCAGUGUAGCGGUGAAAUGCGUAGAUAUUGGAAAGAACACCGGUGGCGAAAGCGCUCUACUGGGCCUGCACUGACACUGAGGGACGAAAGCUAGGGGAGCGAAAGGGAUUAGAUACCCCUGUAGUCCUAGCCGUAAACGAUGGAUACUAGGCGUUGCCCGUAUCGACCCGAGCCGUGCCGA
Molecule: ribosomal RNA, 748 nt
Filed under: cyanobacterium enrichment culture clone 5_10_5.3.6_A05-T7
Lineage: Bacteria; Bacillati; Cyanobacteriota
Description: bacterial SSU rRNA
Rfam family: Bacterial small subunit ribosomal RNA
Source: RNAcentral